This is a long non-coding RNA of Equus caballus (horse), 3727 nucleotides long. The record is from Ensembl. NCBI's taxonomy places the organism in Eukaryota, Metazoa, Chordata, Mammalia, Perissodactyla, Equidae.
GUUGCUUAUAGUCUGGGACUGUAUUUCCCAAACUGUCUUGCAGAGAAAACAUAUUCCUGUAGUUAGUUCCUAGUUGCUUCUCUCUCUAAUCAAAUAUAUUUGGAAAAUGCUAUACAUAGGGUACAUCAGCAUUAAAAGCUCUGGGUGUUUGCUGAUGAAGAAUCCUGUUUAAUUUUAUUUCGCUCAGAUAAAUUUAGACAUACCUUUUGUGUAACACCUGUUAACAGUCCAAAAAACUAGCAUUUCUCAAACAAACAAUGAAAAAUGCUUUUCUGAACAUCUUUCCUAUUCUACUGGAGGAAGAAUUCAAGGAAAACCUUAAGAUCUUAGAUUUCCCAAAUAGGUUAUUGAAUUCAGAGCAUUUUAAGGAGAGAAUGUGUCUUCUAUAUUUGAAAGAGUUGUAUGUAAGUUAAAGUUAUGCAUUAUUAUCACUUCUUAUAUAAUUGAAUUUUAAAAUUCUGAAAUCCUACAAGAAAAGUUUAAAGGAUUGUCGUAACAGACCACCUUUCCAUGAAACUAUCACUGUGCUCCACUCGUUUCCUCCUAAUUUUGUAGGUCUCCAAGCGAGGUAAGGUAUCUAGGGUUUUGUUGUAAUUAACAAGAUCUCAGGAAAAUCGUAUGGUUGGUUGGCCAGCAUGGGUUGGAAACAGGAGUUCUCAUCCUUUUUCGGGGGGCCGGGGGCUUACUGUUUUCUAAUACCCUGACCUCAUUGAGGGAUUCCUGAUAGCAUCUGGCUCUGUCACUUUCCUGCUUGAAAUACUCUUGAGCAGCUGCCCCUCACAGCAGGGUGGCUGCAAGCGACUGGCUAGGGAUCCCUGUUGUAAAUGACAGCUGCAGGGUGAUUUUGGUCAUGGCUGCCAAGAGGCAGAAGUUGAGUGAAAACAUUAUAGAAUUUUAAUUAUUCACAGUGGCAGUGUGUUCAUGGCCAAACAAAGAGGGCACCAGUUGAAUACAGAAAAAAGAAACAUUGGAUCUACUUUCUCAAAAGCUUCGCUGAUGUCCUUUCAUGGCCAGAAAGUAGAAGAAGCAAAACAAAACUAAAGACACAUUGAAUAUUUCAGCCCCAGCUUAUUCUGCCUAGUUUAUCCAUCUUUGGCCUGAGAAACUGAAUAAUAGCAAUGCUGUUACUACUAAUAACAUCUACCAUUUAUGGAGCUCUUACCAGAUACCAGACACCACUGUCUAUAACCAUUAUCUGAAUUUUUCCUCCCAACACACUUAUGAAGUAGCUGCCUUUUUACAGAUGAAAAGACUGAGAUGCUGGGAGAUGUAUAACUUGCCCAAGGUCACAUAGCUAGUAGCUUGUGAGACAGAAACUCAAACGCAGAACAACUCACACGGGGCUAACUGGAAAGUCCAUACCAUUGACUUAAAGAGCAAGAAUAGUGGCUGUCAUUUAAAUAGAGAUGGCUCUUCCCAGCACUCUGGUCAGAUCACAGCACUAGUACAAGGUGGUAUUUCCAAGCAAAGGUGAACAACAGGAAAUGAACUUAGUGGUUGAAUUCCAUUUGUGGCUCCUAAAUUUCAGUGUGAACUGUGCCUGCUUUCCCCUUUAGUAAAUAAAGUUAAGAUAUUAAGUGACCUUCAUGGACAUGAAAAUAACUACCCAGCAUAUCCGAACUUCAUAGCUUCCUUUAGACUAAGGGGGCUUGGUUAUCGUUUGUUUCUGUAUCUUGAGCACCAUCUAGUCCCCUGACUGCACUGACUGAAAUGAGGAUCAGUCCAUCUCUAGCUACCCUGCAGAGGGACAGGUUUUGGGGAGUGGAAUAUACACGAGAAUUGGUCCUCAAGUUUGUGAAAUACAGUCAUUUGGGAGACAAAGCUUGGAAACAUCAUGAUUCCCAUGGAAAUGGUAAACCCUGUGAGGGAAAUGCAAUUCAGGUUCCCAUCCAUGUUGAAAGUGUCAUUAUUAGUGCCAAGAGGUGGAUUUCUUAGGAAUGCUUUUCUCUGUCAACACGCCAUAGGAUUUUCUUUAUGGCUGCUCAGAGAUUUUCUUUUCCUCUCUUUUAGAGAUUAAAAAGGGAUAUUAUUUUUAAAGAGCUCAGUUCCAGUGUGAGAAGUACAGUGACACCCUGUUCUCUUUCACAUGGCUGUCAGAGCAAAGAGAGCUGGGAGGCCAUUCUAUUCAUCUCCCAGCCACUAGAGAUGAGUUGAUGGAGGUAUGAGAAGGUCUUUCGAAGACCUUGUGACUGAGAGAUCAGAAAUUACUUCUCUGAGAUUGUGAGGUGAGGGGCUUGGUCCGGAAGUAAUUGUAUUUUUCUCAUCCUCACAGUUCUCACAAUUCAUCCUUAUUUCUUCAUUGCCAAGUUUUGACAUAGAAGUUUCUUUUUCGAUAAGCCUGAAUGCUCAGGGAUGUUGCUCACCAUUCUCACAGCAGCCAGUGCUAAGGUUUUGGUCAGUGUUUGAGAUAAACUUUUAUUAGAGUGUUUCCAUUAAGAUGCUUCAAGGCCAUUACAUCAACGAAUGAGACACAUCUAUCUUGUUCUGAUUUAAUUGCAGAAAGGAAGGUUGGUUUUAUAUGCUAUAAAGCUGCUUUCAGGGAAGACAGAGCUUCAUGUCUAUAGUUACAGAGUUUCAUUUUGUUGAAACCUUCAGUUUCUCUUAACACGGCUGAAAUUAUAAUGGCGUUUCACUUUAUGAGACUCCUGAAAUGGUGGCUACAGUCACUGCCUGGUUUACCAAAUUGACAAUGACAUGUACAAUAUGAAGUGCUAGGAGCGAGCUCAACUGGCUUCACAGCAGCAGUUCACAGGAUUUGCACGCUCUGCCUUAGGAGAUUGCUUCAUAAAGGUUCAUGCUGCUGCCAAGAGGAUUUCUCUCCCCUCCUUGACCAAGUUGCUUUUCUCCUUAACAACAGCUCCCUAGAGCUCACCGUCACCCUGGUUCUACAUCAGUGUUAAGUCCUUGACCAAGAUGCUCUGAUUAACUAACCACCUCUAAUUGCUCUUCUUAAGGCUUUCUUCACUCUCCUAGCCCAGGUCAGCUUAGUGUUGGCCAUUUGACAAAGAAUAGACCCAGGUAAAGAGAAGUCAGUGUCCUUACUUCUUCCUGCAUUCAGCCAGUGUGUUUAUCACUUCUAGUUCUAUCCAUGCCCUGUAGACUCUGAGAGGCUGAGCCGAGGCAGCCGCUGCUGCCACCACUACAUCCACCUUGAGCACCAUAAUGCUCCCUGACUGCGCUAAUUGAAAUGAGAUCAAUCAGUCCAUCCCUAGGCCAUUGGUUUGCUGGAACAGAUUGAUCCUUUUUUUUUUUUUUCAAAAGGAAUUUUUCACUUGAAAACCAAGUGAAGAGCAGACAAGUACCAAAGCACAGAACCUGACAAGUUUAAGACCUUUGUCCGGCCUUUUCCGCUUCAGAAUUAGUGUUUCCUAUUGGACUGGCCACAGAGAUCUGUUUCUUUGGAUAAUGUGAAAAGAUGAUUGCCGUACAUCAAGGGGGAAGAAUAUGGACUGAUAUCUGCUUAUACUCUCCCCACUUCCCAGGAUAACCUAGACAGGUAACCAGGAGCCCUGUCUCUGAGCUGACAGUUGGAGUAUUAUCCUCACCAUUUUUGGAUCCUUUCUGUUCAAAUAAAUGGACCAUUAAUUUGAAGCAUGGUAUUUUUGGAAGUUAAAUAAAUCUAUGGAACAGCGCUUAAAAUUAACAUUCAGAAUUAUUAUCAGAGGACCUGUUUUCCUCCAUCCGAAGUUUAUGCAUCAACAGACCAAUUGCAAGUCAUGAAAGGGCA